CAUGGUAGCAAAGGACGACGCUGUUUACGUUUUACUAACCUUAAAGUCCUCGACACUUUAGUCGUUUGUCAUCGCAAUAGACACAGUUCGCGAACGUAGAAUACACACCAAAAAAAAUUCUUUAUCGACAUCGACAAUACGUUAACUUUCGUUCUCACCACGUCCAUGUGUUUCGAGAUCUUGGCCAGAUGGAACACGUAUACAUAGACAGCACCUUAACAACACUAUAACGAGACAAUAGAACAGUAACAAUUUUGAAAUAAAAGAGACGUUACGAAGAGGGAAUAAACAAAUCUUUCAGAUGAAUUGUAUAAUAAGUGUAUAAUACAUGUAGUAUCAGUGUAUGAUACUUAGUGAUUUGCAUUGUGUUCAAACUGCGAUAUCCAGCGGAGACAGUGCGAAUUAAAAAUUAAAGAAAGCAUAAAGAGUUAGUUCGGACACAUACACUUGUUCAUCUCGAGAUUAUCUAACUAGGCUAUGACUUUAUUGUGCAUUUUGAGCCUAAAAAGUGAUUCUGGGAUUCAAAUAAAUUCGACUGUCAAAUUUUUUCGAAACCCUUAGGCUUUUCAUCAAUCUUGGAAAUUCAGUUCCGACGAAAUAUGGAAAAAGUUACAGGCAAUAUUGCAUUCUACAGAGCCGAGGUGUUCAAACUGUCGCGAAUAGAUCAGCGGAUCAACCAAUCACGUUAUUGUCUUUCGACGUAUCACAUCGUCCUCCCCCACCACGCCCACGUCCGCCCCAUCCCCAACGCUCCAAGACGGAGUCAAACCGUUCUUUUCCGCCCGGCGUCUCGAGAAUUCUUGAUUUCCAAUUUUCACGACGCCAUUAAUACGAAAGGACGACGACGAUCACUGCAAAAACGUUUAAAGGAAAAUUGGGUAUAAUGUAAUAUAAUUAAUUAUUUACAAUAAUGGUAAUUCUCAAUGUAAUUAUUAAUCGUUAUUAUACCUUACAUUUAGAAUAAAAUUAAAUAGAUGUCUAUAAUACUUACCAGAUUCGGGGUAUUACACAGGCAACACUUUGAUUACAAAUAACAC
This is a long non-coding RNA of Hylaeus volcanicus, 1037 nucleotides long. RefSeq lists it as uncharacterized. The transcript is spliced from 4 exons. Lineage: Eukaryota; Metazoa; Arthropoda; Insecta; Hymenoptera; Colletidae. The record is from RefSeq and is a predicted model, not a curated record.